UCUCAUCCAGGACAGUGGGCAGGAGCAGA
RNAcentral lists this non-coding RNA (29 nucleotides) under Mus musculus (house mouse). Lineage: Eukaryota; Metazoa; Chordata; Mammalia; Rodentia; Muridae. The record is from RNAcentral.